CAGAAACAUGACAGCCACCAGCUGCAGCGUAGACUAAAAAUCUUCCUUGGCUUCCUUGAAGCCAUUAAGUGCUUCAACCGCUCCAAAGGUAACCAGCUGCAGGAUAUUCUGAAUGACUGAAAACAUGAUCAAAAAACAACAGUGUGAGCCAGGGAAAACUCUGGCAGGAGAGCACCACCCACACAAAGAAAUACUUACUAAAUUCAUCUCGGAGACAGGAUAUCUGCUCAACUUAGGGGAGUUCUUUCUGCUCAGUGGGAAAAUCAACCGGAAGAUGUGCAGCAGUCAUAACAACACAGAGUAGUCAGAGUCUCACACAUCCUUUCCUGCUGGGUCCCCAACUCUUCCUGGAAGAAACUGAGGAUGGAGCCUUUCACAUCCAGGAUAUUACAUGAAAGUUGCACAGAAAACUGAUAUAUCUCCAAUGACUCACCUGCACCUUUGGAAAAGUCAGAAUGACAUGGAUGAGAUGACCUACAUACACACCUUUUAGUCACAGUUACUCUUGAUGUUGAAAUCUGUUCAGCCUGCAUUUUUGCUCUACAGAGAGCAAAAGAGAAAGAGGACGAAUAUACAGUCUUCAGAGCAGCAGUGGUGACUGUCCUCCUCCUGGGCUCCUUCCCAGUCCCCAGAACAAUUGUUUUUGGGAAACCCAGGCUAUUUGUUUCCAUCUCCAUCAACUCCCUGUGAUACAAACUACUGCACUGUUUACUGGAAGAGCCUGAACAGAAAGUCUACAACUUCAUAUCCACUAGAGCUUGGUUCAGUUCUUUUGCAUUUACAGAAGGCUGGCAGUGAAAUAGCAAAUUGUAUAAUGAGCUUCAAAGGGUCAUGCUGAUAUGAAAUGCAGAGACAGCCCUGAAAUCUGCUGAGGAACCACCCAGAAAGAGCCUGUACAUGCUCAAAUUUCUCACAUCCACCACGUAGCAAUGCAUUCUGCUAACAAGACCAACUAAAUGAACAUUUCUUUUGCUUGUACUUCAAAUUCUUCAUCAAAUGCUGUUUCAGUUUGCUCCACUGCAAUACUGGAAAAUGCCAGAUACACCUGGCAGUGUAGGAUAUAUGUAGCUCCCAGAAGUGCCCUGUACAUUUGCAAGAAAUGAAAUUAUUAAUUAUCUCUGUAUUUAUGUACCUAUUUGAUUCACAAGCUUGAUAGGUUCACUCUAGUGGCUGAUUUACGUGAAUGUUCCUGGGACUGCAUUACUGCAUAAUUAAUCUUUAUAGCAAAGUGGCCUUGUUUCCACAUGGAUGCUGCUUAAAAAAUUGCAUUCAUUUGCACUAUGGAGGCAUAGGCAAUAGGUGGAAAUAUCAAAAUGAGCUGUUCACUCCCUGUUCUGAAAUGGAUGAAAUCUAAAGCUAGUCUUCAUUUAGAUUGGAAGAAGAUGAUCCAGAGAUAUAGCACAGGAAAACCUCUCUGAUAUAAAGCUGGGAGGAGUGGCUGACACCAGAAGACUGUGCCUUCAGCAAGACUUGGACAGAAUGGAAAGUUGUGCAGGGAGAAACCUCAUUGAUUAACCUUGAUUAACAAGAGCAAGUGUAGAGUCUUGCUCCUGUGGUGGGAUAACCAUGUGCAUCAGUACAGGUUAGGGGAUGACCUGUGGAGAGGAGUUCUGCAGAGAAGGACCUGGGUAUUCUGGUGGACAAUGGGUUGGCCAUGAGCCAGCAGUGGGCCCUUGUAGCCAAGUAGGACAAUAGUAUUCUGGGGCACAUUCAAACGAGUGCGGCCAGCAUGUUAAAGAAGGUUAUCCUCCCUUUCCACUAUGCUCUGGUGAGACGACAUUUAGACUACUGUAUCCAGUUCUGGGCUCCCCAGUUCAAAAAAAAAAAAAACAGGGACCUCCUAGAAGGAGUCCAGCAGGGGGCCAUAAGGAUGAUAAAGGGCCUAGAGAUCUCCCUUAUGAGGAAAGAUUGGGAGACCUGGAUCUGUUCAUCCUGGAGAAAGAAGUCUGAGGGGGUAUCUGAUUAAUGUUUAUAAAUAUCUGAAUAGAGGUGGGAAGCAAAUGGAGGAGGCCGGGCUCCUCUUAGUGGUGCACAGCAAUAGGACAAGGAGUAAUGGCCUAAAACUUGAACAUAGGAAGUUCUAUGUAAAUAUGCUUAAGAACUUCUGUACGGUAGGGGUGACUAACCACUAGAACAGGUUGCCCAGAGAGGUUGUGGAGUCUCCUUCUCAGGAAAUACUCAAGACCUGGCUGAACAUCUACCUGUACAACUUAUCAGAGCAGGGGGCUUGGACUCGAUGAUCUCUUGAGGUCCCUUCCAACUCCUGAGAUUCUGUGAUUCUGAAACAGCAUGCAACAGAUCAGAUAUUUUUUCUUUUGAAACUGGACCUUAAAAAUACAUAUAUAUUUUUUGUUAUCCAAGGAAAUUAACCUGCUUUCUUCAGGUCAAAUAAAUUAUCUGUGGAUACUCAAAGAUAUUUUUGAUUAUUUUGCUUGGUUUCUAAUUGAGAUGGAGGAAGCAAUGAAUUGUUUUACCUAACAUGUAAUGCAGAUAGUCAUCAUACUAUCAAUGGGAAUGAAACAAUUUUUCCUUUUUUUGGUUUUGGUUUUGGUUUCAAAGAUAAAACGAAGAGCACUACUAAGUAGUACAAAAGAACCUUCUG
This is a long non-coding RNA of Gallus gallus (chicken), 2602 nucleotides long. Lineage: Eukaryota; Metazoa; Chordata; Aves; Galliformes; Phasianidae. The record is from Ensembl.